GACGUAGGGAGCGAGCGUUGCCCGGAUUCAUUGGGCGUAAAGAGCGCGCAGGCGGCUUGGUAAGUCGGAUGUGAAAACCCGGAGCUCAACUCCGGGCGUGCAUCCGAUACUGCCCGGCUAGAGGUAGGUAGGGGAGAUCGGAAUUCCUGGUGUAGCGGUGGAAUGCGCAGAUAUCAGGAGGAACACCGAUGGCGAAGGCAGUUCUCUGGGCCGUAACUGACGCUGAGGAGCGAAAGCGUGGGGAGCGAACAGG
Molecule: ribosomal RNA, 253 nt
Filed under: uncultured bacterium
Lineage: Bacteria
Description: partial 16S ribosomal RNA
Rfam family: Bacterial small subunit ribosomal RNA
Source: RNAcentral